UGGGGAAUCUUGGACAAUGGGGGAAACCCUGACCCAGCAACGCCGCGUGAAGGAUGAAGUAUUUCGGUAUGUAAACUUCGAAAGAAUAGGAAGAAUAAAUGACGGUACUAUUUAUAAGGUCCGGCUAACUACGUGCCAGCAGCCGCGGUAAUACGUAGGGACCAAGCGUUGUUCGGAUUUACUGGGCGUAAAGGGCGCGUAGGCGGCAUGACAAGUCACUUGUGAAAUCUCUGGGCUUAACCCAGAACGGCCAAGUGAUACUGUCGCGCUAGAGUGCAGAAGGGGCAAUCGGAAUUCUUGGUGUAGCGGUGAAAUGCGUAGAUAUCAAGAGGAACACCUGAGGUGAAGACGGGUUGCUGGGCUGACACUGACGCUGAGGAGCGAAAGCGUGGGGAGCAAACGGGAUUAGAUACCCAUGUAGUCCCUGAGCGGGCUGGCAAGGCGCAU
RNAcentral lists this ribosomal RNA (447 nucleotides) under uncultured bacterium. RNAcentral describes it as "bacterial SSU rRNA". It matches the Rfam family "Bacterial small subunit ribosomal RNA", at positions 355 to 825 of the family's 1533-position model. The record is from RNAcentral.